Molecule: transfer RNA, 73 nt
Filed under: Pirellulales bacterium
Lineage: Bacteria; Pseudomonadati; Planctomycetota; Planctomycetia; Pirellulales
Description: tRNA-Lys
Rfam family: tRNA
About the family: Transfer RNA (tRNA) molecules are approximately 80 nucleotides in length. Their secondary structure includes four short double-helical elements and three loops (D, anti-codon, and T loops).
Source: RNAcentral
GAGGCUGUAGCUCAGUCGGUAGAGCAACGGACUUUUAAUCCGUAGGCCAAGGGUUCGAGUCCCUUCAGCCUCA